ACCUACCCGGUUACCAAACCCAGUCAAACUCCGAAUGGCUGCAAUCAUACCUGGGAGUCAGACUGCGACUAAUAAGGGCCGCAGUCAAAAGGGAAACAGCCCAGACCAUCAGCUAAGGUCCCCAAUGCCGUGCUAAGUGGCGAAGGAUGUGGCAUUUCAUAAACAACCAGGAUGUUGGCUCAGAAGCAGCCACCAUUUAAAGAGUGCGUAAUAGCUCACUGGUCGAGAGACGCUGCGCCGAAAAUGUCCGGGGCUCAAGCACGGAACCGAAGCUAUGGCAUGAUAGCAAUAUCAUGGGUAGGGGAGCGUUCUUAUAAGGAAGAAGCAUGACCGGAAGGACAUGUGGACGAAUAAGAAGUGAGAAUGCCGGUAUGAGUAUCGAAAAGAAAGGUGAGAAUCCUUUCCACCGAAAGCCCGAGGGUUCCUGAGCAACGAUCGUCGACUCAGGGUAAGUCGGGACCUAAGCCGAGGCGAGAAGCGUAGGCGAUGGACAACAGGUUGAAAUUCCUGUACCGGAUCAAGUCGAUCGAGCGAAGGAGCGACGCAGGAGGGCACAUGAUCGCGCGGCUGGAAGAGCGCGUCCAAGUGCGUAUGUUGCUGCAGAGGAAAACCCCUGCGGCUGAAAGCAGAGACAUGAUGGGGAGUUAAAGGAAACUUUGACGAACUCAUGGAUCCCACACUGCCAAGAAAAACUUCUAGCGAGACAAGAUCCGCCCGUACCGUAAACCGACACAGGUAGGCGGGGAGAGAAUCCUAAGGUGCGCGGGAAAACCCUCGUUAAGGAACUCGGCAAAUUGCAUCCGUAACCUAGGGAGAAGGAUGGCCCCCGGUCAGUGAAGAGCAGAAACGCUCAGAGCUAAAAGGGGCGGCAGAAAAGAGGCCCAAGCAACUGUUUACCAAAAACACAGGUGCCUGCGAAAGCGAAAGCUGAAGUAUAGGUGCUGACGCCUGCCCGGUGCCGGAAGGUUAAGGAGAGAAGUUAGCGAAAGCGAAGCAUCGAACUGAAGCCCCGGUGAACGGCGGCCGUAACUAUAACGGUCCUAAGGUAGCGAAAUUCCUUGUCGGGUAAGUUCCGACCCGCAUGAAAGGCGUAAUGAUUUGGGCACUGUCUCAACGAGGGGCCCGGUGAAAUUGAAAUACCUGUGAAGAUGCAGGUUACCCGCGACUGGACAGAAAGACCCCAUGGAGCUUCACUGCAGCUUGAGAUUGAAUCCCGGUGACAGAUGCACAGGAUAGGUGGGAGGCGCCGAAGCAUUGCCCUAGGGCGGUGCGGAGCCGAUGUUGGGAUACCACCCUUCUGUUGCUGAGAUUCUAACGCGAGGAGUAACGACCCUGCGGACCCUCUCAGGCAGGCGGUUUGACUGGGGCGGUCGCCUCCGAAAGAGUAACGGAGGCG
RNAcentral lists this ribosomal RNA (1396 nucleotides) under human gut metagenome. Its description in RNAcentral is "bacterial LSU rRNA". It matches the Rfam family "Bacterial large subunit ribosomal RNA", at positions 925 to 2308 of the family's 2925-position model. The record is from RNAcentral.